CUUUAAAACAGCAGGAAAACACUGGGCCAGAAUCCAAGACAGCAGGAUAAGAACUUCUUUCCUGCCACUUACUAGCUAGAAGACCACAGGCUUCAUUAUCGUUCCUAGGGUCCUCAUCUGCUUAAGCUGAACUAAUUCAACAUUUACUAAACAUCUACUAUAAAGCCUAUCAUAGGAUUAGGUGCUUGAACUAGAAAAGUUGUCGGAGACUUUUAUGUAUGACAGAUUGCUCCAACCUCAAAAGAAAAAUACUUCUAUAUAUCAAGUUCAGCUAUGUCCUUUCCCGAGAAUGAGCUAUCGACUCAAGGAACUAAGUCCUGUAUCACUGACACAAAGAACUGAAUAAAGGAUAUAAACAGAGACCCCCGCAGUCAGCUAGAGCUCUGUCCUCAGAGGUCUGGACCGCAAACCCACGGGGUCACUCCUCCACAAGAGACAGCAGCAAAGAGAGCAACACCUGCUCCUCAAAGGUCUGCAUUUCAGCAGUGAUCCCAACUGCCUCCUUUGUCCCCCAGCCCAAAAGGUGGUAAGCGCUUUCCUGCAGUCACAAUUUGUGGUACCUAGAAUUCUUUUUACCCUUUAUU
Long non-coding RNA from Canis lupus familiaris (dog), 584 nucleotides. RefSeq lists it as uncharacterized. The record is from RefSeq and is a predicted model, not a curated record. The transcript is spliced from 3 exons. NCBI's taxonomy places the organism in Eukaryota, Metazoa, Chordata, Mammalia, Carnivora, Canidae.